Molecule: long non-coding RNA, 646 nt
Organism: Megalobrama amblycephala (Wuchang bream)
Lineage: Eukaryota; Metazoa; Chordata; Actinopteri; Cypriniformes; Xenocyprididae
Exons: 3
Source: RefSeq, a predicted model, not a curated record
UUUAACAGUAAUGUAAUUUCAACUGAAAUUAAUAUUUCAUUGAUUUCACAUAUAUUUACUUGUUUGUUAAGUAGUACAAAAUGUACUACUGUAAGACAUCCAAACACUUUCAGGAUGAUACAAUAUAUUUUUAUGUAGGUGCUCUGAUCACAUUGUCAGGGUUUAUAAUUUAUGACAGCUGACUGUGUUUACGUACAAAUCAAUGAGGUAACAUUUCAUUUAUGUCCUUUCAUAUAUGUCAUGCAAUUGAGAUGACUUGGAAAAAGUGUUCAAAUUAACCUGAAUUCUCCCUAUAUAUAUGGAUAGGAGCAGUGUGAAUAUUCUACUUCAAGAAAAAUAAUACACAUUUGAAAAGACUUGAGGAAAUGUGGGGUUUAUACCUCUCUGAGAAUCUCGAUGGUCUCCCCGACAACCAGCUCCAGCUCGUCCUCAUGCAGGGGAGCGUAGGGGAAAGUCACCUCGCAUUUCCUCGUCUGCACCUUUGGUUUCUUCGCUGGAGCAUUGAAAUUUAUUUUGAAGGAACGUCUCUAUUACUGUUGGGGACUUUGAUUUAUCCAAGCUGAAGUUCAUUAAAAAGAUUCGUUCAGAUAAUCCCACCUUCUGCAGUUACUCCAGACCGAUCGGCGUAUGACAAGUACCGCGAGAG